This 497-nucleotide ribosomal RNA is filed under the name uncultured bacterium. Its description in RNAcentral is "partial 16S ribosomal RNA". It matches the Rfam family "Bacterial small subunit ribosomal RNA", at positions 28 to 507 of the family's 1533-position model. The record is from RNAcentral.
GAUGAACGCUGGCGGCGUGCCUAAUACAUGCAAGUCGAGCGAACAGAUGAGGAGCUUGCUUCUCUGAUGUUAGCGGCGGACGGGUGAGUAACACGUGGAUAACCUACCUAUAAGACUGGGAUAACUUCGGGAAACCGGAGCUAAUACCGGAUAAUAUUUUGAACCGCAUGGUUCAAUAGUGAAAGACGGUCUUGCUGUCACUUAUAGAUGGAUCCGCGCUGCAUUAGCUAGUUGGUAAGGUAACGGCUUACCAAGGCAACGAUGCGUAGCCGACCUGAGAGGGUGAUCGGCCACACUGGAACUGAGACACGGUCCAGACUCCUACGGGAGGCAGCAGUAGGGAAUCUUCCGCAAUGGGCGAAAGCCUGACGGAGCAACGCCGCGUGAGUGAUGAAGGUCUUCGGAUCGUAAAACUCUGUUAUUAGGGAAGAACAAAUGUGUAAGUAACUGUGCACGUCUUGACGGUACCUAAUCAGAAAGCCACGGCUAACUACGUG